Molecule: ribosomal RNA, 800 nt
Filed under: Staphylococcus sp. IMCC1714
Lineage: Bacteria; Bacillati; Bacillota; Bacilli; Caryophanales; Staphylococcaceae
Description: bacterial SSU rRNA
Rfam family: Bacterial small subunit ribosomal RNA
Source: RNAcentral
GAGCGAACAGAUAAGGAGCUUGCUCCUUUGACGUUAGCGGCGGACGGGUGAGUAACACGUGGGUAACCUACCUAUAAGACUGGGAUAACUUCGGGAAACCGGAGCUAAUACCGGAUAACAUUUGGAACCGCAUGGUUCUAAAGUGAAAGAUGGUUUUGCUAUCACUUAUAGAUGGACCCGCGCCGUAUUAGCUAGUUGGUAAGGUAACGGCUUACCAAGGCGACGAUACGUAGCCGACCUGAGAGGGUGAUCGGCCACACUGGAACUGAGACACGGUCCAGACUCCUACGGGAGGCAGCAGUAGGGAAUCUUCCGCAAUGGGCGAAAGCCUGACGGAGCAACGCCGCGUGAGUGAUGAAGGGUUUCGGCUCGUAAAACUCUGUUAUUAGGGAAGAACAAACGUGUAAGUAACUGUGCACGUCUUGACGGUACCUAAUCAGAAAGCCACGGCUAACUACGUGCCAGCAGCCGCGGUAAUACGUAGGUGGCAAGCGUUAUCCGGAAUUAUUGGGCGUAAAGCGCGCGUAGGCGGUUUCUUAAGUCUGAUGUGAAAGCCCACGGCUCAACCGUGGAGGGUCAUUGGAAACUGGGAAACUUGAGUGCAGAAGAGGAAAGUGGAAUUCCAUGUGUAGCGGUGAAAUGCGCAGAGAUAUGGAGGAACACCAGUGGCGAAGGCGACUUUCUGGUCUGUAACUGACGCUGAUGUGCGAAAGCGUGGGGAUCAAACAGGAUUAGAUACCCUGGUAGUCCACGCCGUAAACGAUGAGUGCUAAGUGUUAGGGGGGUUUCCGCCCCUUAGU